GAGCACGUAGGUGGGUUUGUAAGUCAGAUGUGAAAGCCUUCUGUUCAACGGAAGAAUUGCAUCUGAAACUGCAAGUCUUGAGUGUAGGAGGGGAGAAUGGAACUUCUGGUGGAGCGGUGAAAUGCGUAGAUAUCAGAAGGAACGCCGGCGGCGAAAGCGAUUCUCUGGCCUAUUACUGACACUCAGUGUGCGAAAGCUAGGGGAGCAAACGGGAUUAGAUACCCCAGUAGUCCUAGCCGUAAACGAUGGGCACUAAGUAGAGGGAAUUACCGAUGUUCUCUCUGCCGUAGCUAACGCAUUAAGUGCCCCGCCUGGGGAGUACGGCCGCAAGGCUAAAACUCAAAAGAAUUGACGGGGGCUCGCACAAGCGGUGGAGCAUGUGGCUUAAUUCGAUGCAACGCGAAAAACCUUACCGGGGCUUGACAUGGUAGAAGUAGGAACCCGAAAGGGUAACGAACGGUAUCCAGUCCGUAGCUAUCACAGGUGUUGCAUGGCUGUCGUCAGCUCGUGUCGUGAGACGUUGGGUUAAGUCCCCUAACGAGCGAAACCCUUGUUUUUAGUUACCAGCGGGUUAUGCCGGGUACUCUAGAAAGACUGCCGUCGUCAAGACGGAGGAAGGUGGGGAUGACGUCAAGUCAUCAUGGCCCUUAUGCCCCGGGCUGCACACGUGCUACAAUGGUCGGUACAAACGGAUGCGAAGCCGAGAGGUGAAGCGAAUCC
RNAcentral lists this ribosomal RNA (720 nucleotides) under uncultured anaerobic ammonium-oxidizing bacterium. Its description in RNAcentral is "bacterial SSU rRNA". It matches the Rfam family "Bacterial small subunit ribosomal RNA", at positions 565 to 1274 of the family's 1533-position model. The record is from RNAcentral.